GGGAGAGUAAACUGAAAAGACAAAUGUGU
Molecule: non-coding RNA, 29 nt
Filed under: Cricetulus griseus (Chinese hamster)
Lineage: Eukaryota; Metazoa; Chordata; Mammalia; Rodentia; Cricetidae
Source: RNAcentral